RNAcentral lists this unclassified non-coding RNA (364 nucleotides) under uncultured bacterium. RNAcentral describes it as "contains 16S-23S intergenic spacer region". The record is from RNAcentral.
UCUCCCGUAAGGGAGCAGUCUCGCCUGACACGUAUAACAGGCAACGAGGGUUGCGUUCGUUUCCCCACUGAAGGGAACAACUCAAGCCACGAACUGACGACGACCGUGCAUCACCUGUCCAACCGUCCGUGAGGACUGCUAAAGUUUCCUCUAGCAUUCGAUUGGAUUUCUAGCCCUGGUAAGGUUUUUCGCUUACCGACGAAUUAAGCCACAUGAUCCACCGCUUGUGCGAGCCCCCGUCUAUUCCUUUGAGUUUUAGCCUUGCGGCCGUACUACCCAGGCGGUCCCCUUAACGCGUUAGCUUCGCCUCAUAGAGGGUCGAUACUCCAUAAAGCCAGGGGACAUCGUUUAGGGCGUGGACUAC